ACUCAGCUAGCUCAUCAUCCCUGUUCUCUGAAGGUGGACCCUCCUCAGACUGGGUUUGAUUCAGCUAGCUAAGCAAGGAUCACACAGAAUGAAUACAGGACAAAUCUAUAUAAGAAAGUCCCAAUAUAAUUAAAACAUCACAUUUUUAUAAAAAUGAGAAUUGUGGUAUUGACCAAAGAAUUACUGGCAAUAAGUUUGGAUGCUUUGUAGAGCAAUUCAGUGGAAUUUAAAUCUAGUGAUCUACAAAUCAUAAAAAUCUUAUGCAUUGGUAUUCAUUAACGAGUAGAGAUACUUACCUAUAGAAGAAAGAACCAUUUAUGCAUGAAUUCCUACUUAGUGAGUGAUGGCUCACUGUGUUUUCCUAUUUUUUAACAUGAAUAUAUUGUGAUUACAAAAUAUAGGGCUAGAGAAUUCAAUAGUAUCCUAGCAGUUAAGGAUCUGGUCUUGUCACUGCCAUAGCACUGUUGCUACUGUGGCUCAGGUUCAAUCUCUGGUUGGGGAACUUCUCCAUGCCAUAGUUGCAGGCAAAAAACAGAGAGAGAGAGUGAUUAAAUACAGCUUGGGUCAAUGUAGGAAGUGUGGAGGAGAGCUAGCAAAUGGAGCAGGGUUAGAUAUGUAGUAGAGAGGUAAGAAAUUAAGUGCAGUGAUGACCAAUGAUAUACAAAAUUUGGCUUUCACUCUAUAAUGGAAAUCCCAAGGCAAGAUUUGUCCAUAACAGUGACUCUAGGACACUACAUGUAUAAAAAAGUAAAAAAGAAUUACUGAUACUUUCAAAUGCUCAUUGAUUUGGUAUAAUAUUGGUAAUUAUGCAUGUGCAUAAAAUAUUCAAUUACAUAAAUGUUUACAAAUAAUUUUCUAAAAAUAAUUCAAAUUCUCUAUUAUAUAUAGUAUUGAUAAAUGUUCAUAGUAGGCAUAGAUUUGUAGAUGGACUACUCACAGAAACAUCCUGAGUAAUCACACAAGACAUAAUAUUUAGGGGUUACAGAAUAAGGUCAGUGGAGUGAGGACACUAAGAAGAUGAAGAAUAUAAUCCAAAACAGGUAUAAAUUUUUUUGCCUUUUUUGGGCCACACGCACAGCCUAUUGAGGUUCCCAGGUUAGGGGUCAAAUCAGAGCUAUAGCCACUGGCAUGAGCCACAGACACACAGAAUCUGACCUGUGUCUGUCUGUCACCUACACCACAGCUAAGGCCAAUACCAGAUCCUUAAUCCACUGAGUGAGGUCAGGGAUUGAACCUGCAUCCUCAUGGGUCCUAGUCAGAUUCAUUUCCUCUGAGCCACGAUGGGAACUCCAAGAGGUAUAAAUUUUUAUAGGUUAAAGUGUCUCUCAUCAAAAAUAAGAUAUGCUAAAGUCCUAACCCUUGAUACUACAGAAUAUGACUUUAUUUGGAAAUAGGGUCAUUGUCAAUGAAAUUAUCUAAGGUGAGGUCAUAAUAUGGUAGAGUUAUUUCCUAAUCCAAUAUGACUGCUGUCCUUAUAAAAAAGACACCAUGUGGCAUGAAGAGACAGAGAGACGCUGUGAGAACUUCUUAUGACAACAAGGCAGCUGCUGCCAAGGGAUAGCAAAUGAAACCAGCCAACCACCAGAGCAAGGAAGAAAUAAGGAAGGAUUUUCCCGAAGGUGUCUGACUGGUAGACACCUUGAUUUUGGACUUUUAGACCCUCGAAAUGUGAAUAAUACAUGCAUGGUAUUUUAAGCCACCCGGUUUGUGGUACUUUGAAAUGGCAGAAUCUAAAAUUUGCUUUCUCCAGGGAAUGAUCAAUUAUUCAUGAUAAUAUCUAGGUAAGUAAAGAUAUUGAAGAAUUAUUUCCCUCCAGCCCCAGCUUUACCUCCUGAAGGCAAAGGUGGUCUAGAAAAAAAUAUAGUGUUACUUGGUAUGAUAUUCCUACAGGGAUAAAAGAAAUAACAAAGGCUAAAGAAAUUCCAUAAAUACCUGUGUGUGUGUGUGUGUGUGUGUGUGUGUGUGUGUGUGUAGUUAUCUGGACAAAUUAGAUACACAUUCCAUACCUUAUACCAAAAUAAAUUCAAGCUGUGUCAUAAAUUAAAAUGUUAAAAUUGUAUGAAAGUAUAGUUUUUUAUUUAAUGUGACAAAAAAUCACUCAUAUAUGAGAGAAAAUUUAAUAGCCAUAAAAACCUGGUAAAUCUGACAAUAUUAAAACAAAAUCCAUGAUAAAUAGACUAUAAAUAGAUUAUAGACUAUAAUUCUCUUCUAUACAAAAAGCUUAUAUAAGUCCAAAAGCCAAAGACUAACACACUCACAUAAAAUGAUCAAAGGAUCAUAAAGAUCAAAUGAUAGAAAAUAAAAUAUAAAUGUUUUAAUAAUGCGUAAAGAUGUUCAUUGCGACUUCGAAUUUUAAAUGCAAAUUUAAAAUAUAAUGAGAUACUAUUUUGAUCUACCAGGCGGAUAUAGAUAAAAUAUUUGGCACUAUGCAAUAUAUAUUCAGAAGAUGGAGUAAGAGGUACUGCACAGAUGGCAUUUUCUCUAAAAAGGGCAAUUUGCCUGUAUCUUCCAAUUAAAGAAUAUACAUAUCUUUUGACUCAACAGUUGUAUAUCCUACAAUUAUACUGAUGAAGUAUAGGAUUAUUCCUUAUAGUAUUGUUUUUAAUAGAAAAAUAUGUGAAGCAAAUUAAAUGUCUAUCAAUAGAAAACUGAUUAUACUUUGUUAAAAAUUUGUAUACUCUACAGCCACAAAUAAACUAAGAAACAAACGAGUCAAAAUGAUGAAACUCUUUUAAAACUAAUAUGAAACCAUCUCCAAAGAAAUGGUUGUUAUUACCACCAAAGAAAAGUGAAGUAUGCUAUGGCACACAUGCUAUAAGCUACCAUUUGCAUAAUAAGGACACAUGCACAGAAACGGAUAUAUAUAUGCAUAAUAACAUAUGUAUGUAUACCCAUAUUUAUUUAUAUAUAUACUUACAUAUUUAAUUGCAUAUGUGUCUGUGUGUAUAUGCAUAUUUAUAUCUAAUAGAAUAAAAAAUAAACUGGUAACUUUAGUUUUGUUCUGCCCAGGAGAAGAAUUUAUUUUUGUACAUUAUUGUACACAGUUUUUCUUUUUUGGGGGGAAUGAGCAAACACACAAAACUUUUCAUUCUGUGUUUCUGGGUACAUUUUGAAUUUUGUAAUACUCAAAACUAAUAAAUAUUAAUAUUAAAAAUUUUUAAAGAAAGUAGAUAAUGAUACAACCUUUCCCCCAGUCCAGACUCCAUUAUUUUAUGGUCCUCAAAGGGUUGGGUUUUCAUACACCCCUUUAAAUGCACUUAACUGAGACUGGGAGAUGUGGAACAAAAAUAGACAAUGAAAAAUGUAAAGAUAAAGCAUGCCUAUGCACAGAAUUGGGAUCAUAUGGGGUUGGAAAAAAACAUUUAGGUGGAGUUAAAUUACCCAAUGGCUUAUGAAAUAUAGACUGGUGCAAAAAGCUUUUCUUGUGGGACUCUUAUAGAUUGGUGGAUAAAGAGAAUUCACCAACUACAAUCAUGCCACAUAUGGUCUAAUCCAUUAACUACAUUAUCUAACCCGGCCUUGAAUAAUUCAUAAAUGAGGAAGAGGAGAAAGUCACAUGAAAGCAAAUGCUAAUUAAAGAAACAAAAUUUAACUUUGUCUACCCAUGAGGAGUUCUUAGAAAUGAGGGUGAAAAUUUCAUGUCGUAGAUGAAAACUAGCCCAAACCCUUUGCCACUCUUUGCCAUCAAGAUGUGAGGUUUAUUCCCCUUUUAGUUGAAUGUGAACUGGCCCUGUGGUUGCUUAAUCAAUGGAAUGUGAGAGAACUGACACAAUGCUAGUUUGUUAUGGGAACUGGCAGCCUCUGAUUCCUCAUCUUGGUACACUUGCUCUGGGGAAAACCAGCUUUGCUAUAAGACAUUUGAAUGCCCUGAGACCAGCAAGCUAUGAGAAAGCCUAAGCUAGCCCUAUGGAGAGGCCAUGGGGAGGGAGGGAGGCAGAGAAGGGAGGAGGGAGAGAAGGAGGAAAUGGAAGUGGGAAAGUGAGAGAGAGAAGUCAUGACAUUAGAACCUAGGCAUCCCAAGCAUGCAACCUGAGUUUCUAAGCAUGUAAGUAUAAACACAUCUUGCCAAUCCAGCUCUGACAAGCUUACAAAUGACUCCAGACACAGCUGCCAUCCCUCUGUAACCACAUGAGAGACCAAAAGGAUGAAGCAUCCAACUGAGUGAAUGCACCAUCAGAAAACAAGAGCAAGAGUAAUAAAUGGCUGUUUUGAGCCACUAAGUUUUGGGGGCAGUUUGUUACACAACAAUCAAUAAUCAAAGAAGAAACUGAUUUGUGAAAAUGAAUUGCUGCUGUUAAAAAAAAAAAAAAAGCUUUUAAAUGAAACCAUGUGGGAUCAGCUUGGGAAUGAGCAUCAGGCAGACAUUAGUAGGGCCUUAGGGAGAUUGUUAGUGAAUAGAGAAAUGGCAGGUAGGAAUUUGCCAUAAGGCUUGUUUUGAGGGAAAAUAAAUGUGUUUCUUAGUAUCAAAAACUGAUGGUACUGUCAUAUGUGGUAAUAUAGAAAUGGAUCAUGUUUUUGUUUUUGCUUUUACUGAAUUUGUGGAUUUGGCUAAGGAUAUUUCCAGGGUUAUCUAAUUUAUUAUUUAGCUCUAUAUGAUAAUGUACAGAGAAAAACUAAAGAUGGAACUGUCCGGUCUCAAGAUAGAAUUUAGAAGAAACUUUCUGAGGCAGGAUUUGCCGUGUUCAAAAGUAAAGUACUAUCUUACCUCCAGUUUCUCCCAGAAAAAUACUCUGAAAAUAAAUUACUUCAAGGCAAUGAAUGAAUUCAGGACACUUAUCAUGUUUCCAAGACUGAAGUCCUAAAACCUCGGUUAAAUGCUCAGAAACUGGUAAUGCAGGGGUUCAUAAAUCCCUGAAUUUGACAAUGUUGGCAAGACUGAAGGGCACUGUCUUCUUGUAUUCUGACUCUCGGUCCCAGGUACUACAAGAGAUCUUCCGGGGUGACUUGUCUAACAAUGUGGAUUAUAAAUUUAAGUCCAAAGAUUUAAAAAGUAAUUUUACCUACUUGGACUGAAACAGAGAGAGUUCAAAGUGCAAAAAGACAUUUG
Molecule: long non-coding RNA, 5047 nt
Filed under: Sus scrofa (pig)
Lineage: Eukaryota; Metazoa; Chordata; Mammalia; Artiodactyla; Suidae
Description: lncRNA (ENSSSCG00035024916.1)
Source: RNAcentral